GACGAACGCUGGCGGCGUGCUUAACACAUGCAAGUCGAACGAUGAAGCGGGUGCUUGCACUCGUGGAUUAGUGGCGAACGGGCGAGUAACACGUGAGUAACCUGUCCUUUUCUUUGGGAUAACGGCUGGAAACGGCUGCUAAUACUGGAUAUUCAGGCUGCAUCGCAUGGUGUGGUUUGGAAAGGUUUUUUCUGGGAUUGGGUGGGCUCGCGGCCUAUCAGCUUGUUGGUGGGGUGAUGGCUUACCAAGGCUUUGACGGGUAGCCGGCCUGAGAGGGUGGUCGGUCGCACUGGGACUGAGAUACGGCCCAGACUCCUACGGGAGGCAGCAGUGGUGAAUAUUGCACAAUGGACGAAAGUUUGAUGCAGCGACGCCGCGUGGAGGGUGUAGGCCUUCGGGUUGUGAACUCCUUUUUCUCGCGAAAAAGGCACAGUUUUGGCUGUGUUGAUGGUAGUGGGGGAAGAAGCGCCGGCUAACUACGUG
This 483-nucleotide ribosomal RNA is filed under the name uncultured bacterium. RNAcentral's name for it is "partial 16S ribosomal RNA". It matches the Rfam family "Bacterial small subunit ribosomal RNA", at positions 28 to 507 of the family's 1533-position model. The record is from RNAcentral.